Cryptomeria japonica (Japanese cedar) is the source of this 308-nucleotide long non-coding RNA. RefSeq lists it as uncharacterized. The transcript has 3 exons. The record is from RefSeq and is a predicted model, not a curated record. NCBI's taxonomy places the organism in Eukaryota, Viridiplantae, Streptophyta, Pinopsida, Cupressales, Cupressaceae.
CUUUUGCAUAGGUCAACAUUCUAGUUUCCACACACUUAUUGCUCAAGGCUAUAUUUUACGCAGGGCAACGUUCUAGUUUCCACACACUUACUGCUCAAGGGACUUCGCGGGGUCAUAACUUUUGACUCGGUUGUCCGAUUGGGCUGAAAUUUUACGUGGACGUAGAUCUUGAGGAGUUGAUUGGAUUGUCGACCGAACAAACUUCGGUAGGGCCCUACAUUUUCAGGGUCGGAUUCCUUCAUCUAAGGCCUCAAAAUUGGCUUUUACUCUUUUUUCGAUUUUUUUAGAAAGUUGGUUUUUUAGUUAAU